AUUGAACGCUGGCGGCAGGCUUAACACAUGCAAGUCGAGCGGGGUGAUGGUGCUUGCACUAUCACUUAGCGGCGGACGGGUGAGUAAUGCUUAGGAAUCCGCCUAUUAGUGGGGGACAACAUCUCGAAAGGGAUGCUAAUACCGCAUACGUCCUACGGGAGAAAGCAGGGGAUCACUUGUGACCUUGCGCUAAUAGAUGAGCCUAAGUCGGAUUAGCUAGUUGGUGGGGUAAAGGCCUACCAAGGCGACGAUCUGUAGCGGGCCUGAGAGGAUGAUCCGCCACUCUGGGACUGAGACACGGCCCAGACUCCUACGGGAGGCAGCAGUGGGGAAUAUUGGACAAUGGGGGGAACCCUGAUCCAGCCAUGCCGCGUGUGUGAAGAAGGCCUUAUGGUUGUAAAGCACUUUAAGCGAGGAGGAGGCUCUUUUGGUUAAUACCCAAGAUGAGUGGACGUUACUCGCAGAAUAAGCACCGGCUAACUCUGUGCCAGCCGCCGCAGUAA
Molecule: ribosomal RNA, 503 nt
Filed under: uncultured bacterium
Lineage: Bacteria
Description: partial 16S ribosomal RNA
Rfam family: Bacterial small subunit ribosomal RNA
Source: RNAcentral